CAGACACAGGAUGUAAAUUUUGCUCUGGAAGCCUCAAGAAAAUCACAGAAUGCUUUUGCAGUAGCUAAUGUAACCCUUGAAGAGGCUCAAAAUACAGAGCGUAUUACUACUAUUAGGAGGGUGAUUGAUUUCAGCUUCCAGGAUGUGGAUGGACUCAUUCGUCUAGUUCGGCUUGCGAUGGAGGCCAUAAACUGUUCUGGUUUUGGUGGUGCUAGAGAUUAGCUUACACUGUAUAUAUUGUGUUUGUCUGGUUUACAUUUCGCCACUGGGUAGGCAUCAGGAAAAGAAACUGGGAAGAAGGUGUCUGCCUGGACUUGCUUGGUUUUUCUACAAAGAAGUGGUCAUCAACGACUCUUUACUUCUCAGUACAUGUGUACAAAGUGAGAUUGAUUAGUAAUUUUUGUAAAUUAUGGUUCAGCUUGUUAUUUUGCAUGGAUAAGGGCACAGCAUCUACACCGUUGAGGCUUUUUUUUGUGGGUUGGCAAAGGAGGAUAGGAUAUUGUUUGGGGGCGGAUUUGGAGGUUAUGUAGCAAGUUAGUACUAUAUUUUUUGGCUCCAAUUUUUUUUGUAGCUCGAGCAAAUAAAAUUAUUUUUAGAGAUUGAAAUCAUGAGGCAACCAUUUUGAGGAGGUUGAAUACUGAUAUAGUGAUGACCGACCAAUUUCCUAGUGAGAGCUUUAAGUUUUCUUACCGUUAUGAAUGAUUUUGUUGGACAGAAAAUGGUUGUAUCAUAGAGCUCCCUUUGUUUUGAUCGAGUUUCUUUUUUGUUGUCACUAAGUGAGACAAGAAGCUCAAAUCGUUCUCAUUUUCCUGCAUGGAAGUAUUUAUCGUUCAGAGUUAUUUCUGCGUAGAAAUUAAUCUCCACAGCAAAGGUUUGCAAAGUUUUUAUUAUUUACCAUUCGAAGAAUUUUUUUCAACCUUGUUUUGCUUUUUUAUCAUUUAUUUUCGUUUUUUAUAUAUGUAUAAAAAAAAAUCUAUUGCUUUGCCUUCAAUUGGACUGCGGGCAAGGCUGUCCCAUCUGCUACAUCAAUGAACUGAUUAAAGAGAUCCUUGGAUAUGAAGGCAUACAAACUCUUGCUGCUCAUUCUUCCUCCUUGAGCUGUAGAAAGAUUCCUGCGAUAUCAUAUUGCACUUGUAAUCUCUAGCCAAAUGAGAGAAGCUACCCUUUUUUAAGAGGUACUGGAAGGAGAGGCAGGCGAUAUAUGAGUUCUUUUAACUGUUAAAAACUUUUUGUGUUGAAUUUGAUUGUUAGUACAUUAGAAUCUUGAUUUUAGUUGGGUGAAAUGGUUUAUUGACUAUUGACAUGGUGGUGGAAGCCAGCUGCAAGCAUUGAUAAAACAGGCCUUCAAAUUGCCAUUGUUUGCCUCUUCUACUGCUUUCUUAAAUUUUCCCUUGCUGUAUAUACAAGACCAAAUUCUCAGAUGAUAUGUUUAGAAUAUUAUGGACUUGGGCUGUUCAUUUCUGUUUGCAGAUUUCUGUGGAACAUGUAUCAUAAUUGAAUUGUUAUAAUAAUAAAU
Long non-coding RNA from Pistacia vera, 1516 nucleotides. RefSeq lists it as uncharacterized. Lineage: Eukaryota; Viridiplantae; Streptophyta; Magnoliopsida; Sapindales; Anacardiaceae. The transcript is spliced from 3 exons. The record is from RefSeq and is a predicted model, not a curated record.